CGGGGGCUGCGGUUGAGUGGCGAGGUACCCGCGUCUCUCUGGCAACCGAGUCCUCCGCUGCCAGGGCAGUAGAGUGAGGUGGAGGGAAGCCACGGGAAGCGGAAAGGGGACCCGGGGCUGCGCGCUCCCAGCUUCCACGGGCGCGCGCGUGCCUGCCUGCGUGUCAAAGACCCUUGGCCGCAGCUGCUGGAACUCUUGCCAAGUGCCUCUCUAGUGGUUUCCGAUUGACCUCUCCUGCAAACAAGCAGCGUGUCACUCUCAUCCAAAGCUGUCUAGCGACUUUAGGGAAGGAGUUCUUGUCUGUUCUGAGGAGGCCAGAUGUACAAUCCCAGAGAUUAAGUCUCCCAGUGGGUUCUAGAUAACUUGGUUGUUUAGGAGCCCAGGGGAUUGGUUGUGAAGGGCCACUCUUCAGAAAAUGUGUCUUCUAGUUCCUAAUCCUUUCCUGAGUGCCAAGCACUGUGCUUGGAAAAAGAUUCCUCCUCAGAAGACCUUUGUUAAGGGCUUCUGUUACCAGCCCUUUCAGGGCUAUGUAUAGAUUUAAGACUGACAUAGUGCUAGGAAAGCAGGAUAAGGAAUCAAGAAUGCUAUCUAGAGUUCUUAUUUGAGGUAGUAAAUAGAUGGAAACAUUGACCCAAGGAAAAUAUAAUAAAUGAGUUUGAUGCAUGAGAAUCGAGAUGUCCAUAUCAAGAGCCAAAUGUGGAUUCGGUUAGAUGUUUGAAAAUAGGAAUAACAGUGUUGGCAUGAAUUACCACUCCUAGAAAUUUUGACAUUGAUACACAGGCAACAGUUAAAACCAUGGUUAUGGAUGACUGAAUGGUAAUAGGUGUGCUAAAUAUUCUCUGUAUUCUCAGUCAUGGUAGACUGGCUUUUCUGUUUAGGCCUUGUGUUUGGGUCAGUCUGCACGACAUAUUCUGCCAAGUGAAUUGUGACUAGCUUUUAUAUGCCUUCGGAAACUUUCCAAAAUCCUUUUGCUCUUUGCCAUGUCACUUAUCAAUGUUCCAGAGACUGAGCUCUGCGACUUUUCAUCUUGGGAAGGAAGAUAGUGAAGAGUAAGAAUGCCAGUUAGUUCUUGAUGGAAAUAGUGAGAAGAAAAACCACUGACAUGUGAAAGUGAGAUUAUCAGGGCAGGUCUUCAUUACUUCUGACUGGUGUGAAGAAGGACAGGUCUGAGAAAUGAAAUUUGUUACUUAGACCCUUGUGAAGAGUCUGGAAGACUACCUCAUAUUACUUAAUAUUUAAUAAUAAUGAUAAUAAUAAUGAUGAUAAUAAUAAUAAUAAUAAUAAUAAUAAUAAUAAUAAUUGUGGUGGUGGUGAUGACGAUGAUGAAGCCCGGCAUCCUAUUUCCAUUUCUGUUCUCUGUCGUUUAUUCCCAUACCAACUCCAUGCGUAAGUCUCCAGUUCACAUUAUAGAAGACUAAAAUCCAAAUGCAGAGGCCUGAGUUCUGAGCCAGCUCUUGCGAUGCCAGUUCUCUGGAUGGGCCAGUCUUGGAUCAGGAGUUCAUCCCUAUUUACACAGCACAUGAUUAUCCAAGAUACCAUCUGCAUCCACUGGGCACAGUGCCUUGACCCACCGCAGUGUAAAUUGUAGUGGAACGUUUCCACGCUUGUGCCACUGUAAUUUAUUUUUCGUAGAAUUAUGAAGAUUACGUUUUACGAUGGGAAGCGAGGCAUGUCUUGAUUCCCACACAGUGGUCCAUCAUGAUCAGCCUAAAACCCUUAUGGGAAAAUAUUAACUCUUCCCCUGGCCUACAAAGGUGUUUAUGACCUCACCUCUGCUGCCACCCCUACCUCAUUGCCCUUGCCUCAUCACAUACUAGCACACUGGCAUCCCCUCUCUUGCAUGGGUGCUGCAGGCCUGUUUUCAGAAAGGACAUCCUGGACGACUCUCACCUGAAGGACAAGUCUGCCUGCCAAAGAGAUUUCCUUCACUGUCUGUCUCCCCACAACUAAAGACACUGUGAAAGCUGCCAUUUUGACUGUCCUAUGAGCCCCAAUAACCUAGCUUCCUAGAAUACCUGACAGACUUUGAAUUUUAGGUUAACCCCCCAAGUAUUGUGUUUCAUUAUGGAAUUUUAAUAAUCUUAUUGGCCCCCUCUCCCCGUGAUCCACUCUUAAUAGUCUCUUUCCCCCUUAAUAAUUCCCUUCUGCAUUAUUCAUGUAACAAUUUGUAUAUUCUGUAACCUCAUCUUUCACUCCUCCCUGCUUCCGUCAGACCUCUGACUUUCUAGUUCACACACACACACACACACACACACACACACACGUGCACACUCAUGGUUUUGCAUAUGUAAGUUCAAGCAGUAUUUGUCAAUGAGCCAGGCUCAGUUUACUUAACCUAACGUGAUUCAUCUUCAUUUCUGCAAUGUCAUAGGCUCAGUUUCCACUGGAGCUGAGGAAAAUUGCUUAUGCACAUGUAUCACAUAGGAAUCACACUUUCUGCAUCUAUUCAUGCUUUUAAAUAGGUGUGUACGGUGGCUCCAUUUCUUAGCAGCCAUGAACAUGAACAUGCGAGCAGCUCCGCAGUACGUUGCAGUGUCCUUCAGGUAGAUGUAUCUAGGAGUGGUAGAGUGGUAUAGGUUUCUUUGUUUAUAACGUAAGGAUUUUGGUUUGCUUGGUUGCUUUUUAUUUGUUUAUUUCUUUUUGAGAAACCUCCAUUCUGAUUUCCACACUGGCUGGCACAAUGUGGUAGCUUAACCACCAGCAGUGAAUAAGGCUUCCUCUUUCCCCCAUCCUCACCCAUAUUUGUUUUCUUGCUGAUUUCCAUUCUGACUGGAAUGAGACUCUCAGGAGUUUUAAGUUUGCACUUCAUGAAUAGCAAAGGUAUUUAUCGGUAACUUCUGCUUCUUCCUUAGAGAAUUGUUCAUUGGAGUCAUUAACUAGUUUAUUGAUUAGAAGAUUUAGAUUUGGGAGUAUUUAAUUUUUUCAGUUUUUUUACAUAUACUAGAAACUAACCCUUGUGUGGUACAUAGUUGGCAGUGAUAUUAUUUUCUUAUUGUGUAGGAAUUUUUUCAUCUAGAUAACUGUUUUCUUUGUAGAAAUUUUUACAUUGUGUGUUAUCUCAUUUAUCCGUUCUUAAAGUGUUUUCCUUGCUGUUUCAGUCCUUUCCAGAAAGUUCUUGCCUAUGCUUAUAUAUUCAGGUGUUUUUCCCUAGCAGUUUCAGAGCAUCUGAUCUCAUGUGAAGAUUGUUGAUCCAUUCAAAGUGAUUUUUCUGCAGUUUAAGAAAUAUGCAUCUAAUUUCACAUUCAGUCUUCUUGGCAACAUUUAUUCAAGAGGUUGUCAUUUUUUCAAUGUAUGUCCUUGGCACUUUGUUAAAACUUAUAUGGAUAUAGCUGUAUAUGUGUGUUUGGUUAUAAGUCCUCUAUUCUAUUUUUUUAUUUUACAUAUCUGGUGUGUGUGUGUGUGUGUGUGUGUGUGUGUGUGUGUGUGUGUGUGUGUGUAUUCUGUCAUGAAGUUUUACCCAUGCAAAACCUAGAUACAUGAUUCUAUAAAGAACUGAACUUCAAGGCAACUGAAAUAUGAAGCAAAGUUGGAUUUAUUAAAACUAGAAAGAUUCAGCUAGGUGUGUGUUGGCACAGGUCUUUAACCCUGUCACUCAGGAGGCAGAGGCAGGAAGAUCUCUGUUCAAGGCCAGCCUGGUUCACAGAGGGAGUUUCAGGAUAUCCAGGGUUACACAGAGAAACUUUUCUUGGUGACAGAGAGAGAGGGAGAGACAGAGAGAGGGAGAGGAAGAGGGAGAGGGAGAGAGAGAGAGAGAGAGAGAGAGAGAGAGAGAGAGAGAGAGAGGAGGAGGAAGAGGAGGAGGAAGAAGAGGAGGAGGAAGAGGAGAAGGAUGAAGAGGAGGGGGAGGAAAAAGAAUAGAAAGGUUCUCAAGAGAGAAAGAGGAAGCAUACUCAAUAGGACAAAUAUAAGCCUCUCUAAGAAAAAAAGACACAAUUAGGUUUUGUUACAAUGGGUGUAUAUGGGAUUUGACUGACUCUCACAUUAUAUCUUUAAAACUUGUUAAGAAAGACUCCUCCCAACACUUCUUUUUAAUAUUCCCCUAAGAGUAUAAUUUGUUAUAAGAUUAAAGGUUAAAGAAGUGUUCUUAGUAAGGCUUCAUUUCAUUCUAGGGAGUAGGUUGGGAAUAUAUCAUUAUACCUCAUGUUAGCCCUUAGUAAACCGAGCCUUAUUUACUAGUCUUGAUAUUCUUGAUUGAGGUGUCUCUAAGAAUGCGUUGUUUGGCCUUAAAUGAGAGCAAUUUAUUUACUUUCUUGGGAAAGAUGUCUUUUAGAAAACACAUUUUGUCUCUGUGGACCAUUAAGGUCCUUGUCAGUGAGUCUAAAAUCCUCUGCCUUUCUCAGCAGUAAAAUCAGAUGCGAUCUGGGGAGCAGUGCACCCCUCUUUCCUUUUACUCCAUGUUGUCAUACUUCCAUAAUUCUAUGCUGACUCAAAAACCUUAUGCUUUCUGUUGAGGCCAGCUUUGGUUAUUUGUGGUCUUUUGUGCUUCCCUGUGAUAUAAGAUUUUUUAUUCUCUAAGUCUAAUGAAGAACAUCACUGAAUUUUAAUAAUAGCAUUGAAUCUGUAAAUCAUUUUCAGUAUAGCCAUUUUCCAGAAAUUAAUUCUGCCAAACCACGAGAAUCCAAGCGACGAGAAUCCAUCUCUUAACAUCUUUAAUUGCUUUCUUUAGCAUUUUGAAGUUUUCUUAGUGGUCUUUCAUAUGCUUGGUUAGGUAUCUCAGUCUGGCUUCCUGUUAUGGUUAAAUAAAUUCUUGAUAAAAGCAAUUUAUGGGAGGAGGGAUUCAUUCUGCCUCACAGUACUUCCGAUCAGGGAAGUCUUCAUCAGGAGCUUGAAGCACCUAGUCCCAUGAUACUCACAAGAAGCAAAUGCUGGCUGCCACUCAGCCCCUUCUCUCCAGACUCCUAACCAGGAUAUGAUGUCACCCACAGGGAGCAGACGUUCUUCCCUUGAUGAAUGCACACACACAACCCCUCACCGUGAUGCCCGAGGUCUCAUCUCUAUAUCUGUCAGGUUGAUGCUUAACAUGAAAAGCCAUCACGAUCAUAGGGUUUUCGGUUUGCUUUGGUUUGUUUGCUAUGGCAAAUAAGAUAUAUUUAUAGCAAAUUUUCUUACUUAUAUGUGGAACGGUUACAGACCUCUAUAUGUUGGUUUUGGAUUCCACUUUCUUAAAGUGUUUAUCAGAUCUGUUUUCUAGUAGAAUCUUUUAAGUGGAGCAUCAUGCCAGCUAUCAGUUGUGGUAUUUGACUUCUUCUUUACUUGUGUGCAUCCCUUUUAUAUAUUUCUCAUGACUUGUUGCCAUACUAAGACUUCAAAUACUAUAAUAAAUAAAAGUGGAGAAAGCGAACACUCUUAUCUCAUUCUAAAUUUGAGAAAGUGCUUCAGUUUUUCUCCAAUUAGUAUAAUACUGUCUAUAGAUUUGUUUUAUAUGCCCUUUAUUGAUCUGAAAUAUAUGCCUUAUAUUACUAGUUUCUUAUGACUAAUUAUCAUGCAAUAACAUUGGGCUUUCUGUAUCUGUUGUGAUGAACAUACAUAUGGUUUCUGUUCCUAAGCUAUGCUUUUAUAUUAUGUUUAUUUAUUUGUAUACAUUGAACCGAUCUUACAUCCCUAGAAUAUAACCAAAUCCCUCUUAAUAUGUGAACUGUCUGACCUUUCCUUGCCCUUGGCAUCUACGUUUAUAGGGGAAAUUAGUGUACUUUCAUUUACCUGCCUGUCCCCAUCCAGUUUUAGUAUCAGAGUAGAUCAUAGAGGUAUUCUCUUCCUGGCUACAUUUCUGCUUUUCUUUUCACCCACUCAGGCAUUGGCAGAGGUGGCAUCUUCUUAAAGUUUAGUUUGGACCACCUUGGAGAAUCCUACCUCCAUGCUCCUAAGACACACUUCUGCCAUGGAGUAUCCAAUGAAGUACUUUUCUGUCAAUGUCUCCACCCGUGGGAUAGCCAUACUUGCAUGAUAGCCAUUUACGCCAGUCUUCUCUGGCCCCUUUUCCUACAGUGUUCAUGUCAAUAGGGAACAACAUCUCCUUAACAUUUGCUCUUGACCCUAGCUCAGUGGAAUAACCAUGAUUGCCCUUGUGUAACAAGUGACAGUUGCUUCUGGUUGCUUACCAGAGAAAUGUAUAGAUUCACUUAGAUACAUUUACCUAUCUGUCUGCCUGUCUAUCUAUGCAUUCAUUCCCCAUAGGAAUAGAGUACCAUUUUAAUUCCAUCUCUCCUCUUCUACCAGGCCACACAGAGACAACUUCUGAUCUGCCAUUUUACAUGCACCAAGGAGAAGUAGGCAUUGUGUGUGUGUGUGUGUGUGUGUGUGUGUGUGUGUGUGUGUGUGUGCUGGCCAUUCUCUGUUCAUUCUCCAUAAGGUUCCUCCUCCACCCUUCUCUGCCUUGCUUUUCACCUUGAGUAGGCAGACUUCUGGAGUAUCAGCCAACCUCCUGUUUGAGGACAGUUUCCACUUAGGUUUGAGCAGUGAUCAAGACCAGAAGAACAUGGGAUAGGAAGAGACUGGGUAGUCUGGAUACACAUCUCUUUCUUCUUAAUCAUCUUUCUCUAUGAUUUUAACAUAAGGUAUUACCUAUGCUUACCUAGAAAGAAUUGUCAUUUCCUAAGUUUCCAGCUUUCUCCCAUGUCUGGUAAUGGUUUCCUGAUGAUUCACCAUUUCUCGUAAGACUUGUUUGAUUAGACUUAAGUAUUUUUCUCCAGAGGAACAGACCACUAGAAUAUUUAAUUAUAAAGAGUUAUAUUAGAAAUGAUUUGAACAAUCAGAGGCUAGCUACCCAGCCUGUCUGCCUGGGAGGUCUGGAGAAUAAGGGAAAACAGUAAUUGCUCAGUCCAAGGAAUAUUCCUAACAAGAUGGACCAAAUGAUACAGAUCCAAUCUAAGGGAUCUUAUGUGUGCAGUGAAAAUUCUAGAAUGUUGGUUUCUUUAAAAACUCAGAAAUAUUAUAAGAAUAUGUUUUCAUUUUAAUCCCUAGUGUGAUGAUAUGGGACUGCUUCACUGCAACUGACUGUGAUAUGCCUCAUGCUUUAACAGAGGCGUGGCAUUUCCAGCUGCAGAUAGUUUCUCCGACUGUAUGAUGUUUGGAAUUCUGGGAACUUUUCAGAGGGUAUAUAAAUGUUAGGUCACUAUAGGCAGGGUUGAUGGUGGCUGGUCAUUCAGGGAGAUUGGUUACAGUAGUCACACUCAAAGAAGAAACAAAAGAAAUAAAUUAGUGUUCUGGAUUUGGUUUAACACUUGUAUUAUGCUAAUUGAGUUUCCAAAAUGGCACAAGAAACCACCUGUAAGACACUGAGGGUUCCUGUCCCCAGUUGGUUCUGAUUAGUAAAUAAAGUUGCUGGUGCCCAAUGACUGGACAAGGAGACAGAGGUGGGACUUUAGGAUUUCCAGGCAAGGGGACUAAGAGAAGAAGGAGGAUUUACAUUCCUGAUGCCAGGAAAGGAAUAAGAUUCAGGCUUGAGAACUGUAGAAGACAGAGUAGCAAUCAUGUAAGGAACACCCCCCCCCUCCACGCACAAAUUGGGUCUAGGGUAGCAAGGCUGGAAUAUAGAUUUUAGAAAGUAAUAACUCAGGAGUAUCAGAUGAGAGGUGUUAGCAACAUGGAAGUUUGGGAGUGGCCCAGCUAUUGAGCUGAUUAAGGCAUAUUAAAUAUAAGGCUCUGUGUGUGUGUGUGUGUGUGUGUGUGUGUGUGUGUGUGUGUGUCUUUCAGGAUUCCAGAACAUUGGGGCAGGUAGCGAGGAACUCACACUGCCAUCGGGAAGAUUAGAACAGAUUAAUUAUCUACUGCUACAAAUUAUAUUCAGGGAUCUUUGUGUCUGUCUGUCUGUCUCCCUCUGUUCCUCCCUCCCCUCAUACUUAUUUCUCUCAUAUCUACUCACAGGGAGUAAAGCAAGUGGAGAUAUAAAGGGUGGGAAAAAGUAGAGCCCAUAGAGUAGCAAAGGUCAGCUAUGCAUGUCCUCAAGGAAGGGCAACAUUAAGAACAAGCCAAGUCAAAACAAAACCAAAUGUCCCCAAGAGCAGACAGUGAACCAGCAGAAGUUUGCUUUUCUUUCCUUUUUUUUAAAAAAGAUUUUUAUUUAUUUACUAUACACACAGACACAGACACACACACACACACACACACACACACACACACACACACACAUAUGAGUAUACUGUAGCUGUCUUCACACACACUGAAUCAGAUCUCGUUACAGAUGGUUGUGAACCACCAUGUGGUUGCUGGGAAUUGAACUCAGGACCUCUGGAAGAGCAGUCAGUGCUCUUAACCACUGAGCCAUCUCUCCAACCCAGAAGUUUGCUUUUCCUCAGUCUAUCCUUCCACCUGCAUGGGUGAAUCCUCCUCACUUGUGUCUCCCACAUACCAGUCUUCUCUAGAAACCACCUUCCAACACAAACCCCAAAAAUGUGCUUCACUAUUUCUCUAGACAUCAUUCCACCCAGUCAACCCAGCAGAAUCAACUGUAAAACUGCACCAUUGCCUCUGUUGCAGGCAGAAAGCCGGAUUGACAGAGAGGCAAAUCAGAGCCUGGCCAGUUCAGCACAAUCAGCACUUGUUUUUUAAUGUAAGCUACCCAAGGCCACACAGGCAACGUGGUAGAAUCAGAUUUCAAAUUAAAAAUAAAUUCAAGGAUUAAGAGGAAUCAAAAGGUCUUUUGUAUAGCAGAAAUACAAGAAAAAGAGGAGCUGAGAAAGGAAGGAGGGAAGGUCAACGUUACUCAAGGUCACAAACAAUCAGGGUGAGAAACACUAAGGAGGAUCCCUCAAGUUCUUAAGUGUGAGAGUAAAAGGGAGCAUGAUGGAAUGAGUCUUAAUCACUUUCAUAAUCUUUACAGACUGGAAGGAAGGAGAGCUAGACGUUAAUACAGGAUUGAGAAUGUAAGGAUAUUAUUAAAAGACUCCAAUGUGUUUAUAAUUUUAGGUUAAGAGAGGAAGUAAGGGAUGAGUCACGCUCAGCCGGAGACUAGAGAAGGGGGGAUUAGGAUUUGAGGGGAAGAUUAGCUACAGGAGACAAGGCAUUCCCUAAAGGAGAGAUAUUUCUACUAUUUUUCUAUGCUUAUAUCUAACACCAAGGGAUCUGCCAUUUGAAGUUUUAUUUGCCUAUGGUUGGGAGAAUGCAGAUAGUUUUUGUCUCUCCUUUGGUAGCCUGGGGCAGCAUUUUCAUGAAUUUUCAUGAACAUUAAGGGAAGAUGAUUCAUCCUCCCAGCGUUUUUUACAUGUCAGCCACACAGCAGGGCAAAGGUUUCAAGUUCCUUGUAAUGUAGAUAGAAGAACCUUGUCAAUUAAUCCUGUUUGAAAUGCCAAAGCGAGGGUGCUAUUAAAAACAACGCAAUGGCAAAUCAGUCUCCAAACUCCAAAGUUUCUACAGUGUAACUAUGGUUUUCUAUGUGCUCCACUUUCUAUAUAGGACCAUAAGGGUAGGUAAAUCCAUAAUUCUGAUACGUGGAUAUUGAAACUGUUCAGAUCUGUUUACUGAUGUUUGCUUACUCAGCAAAUCAUCUCUCAAACAGGAUCACGUGUAGCUUUGCAUUGGCACAAUGAUCUGAGGUGUAUUUGCCUUCCUUCGCUGCCCUUUAAAAUAUUUGGUUUGGGGAGAUUUUAGGAUGCUAGACUCAAAUUAGGACUAAGUUUAUUUUAUUAAAAUGUUCCAGAA
This is a non-coding RNA of Rattus norvegicus (Norway rat), 9636 nucleotides long. Lineage: Eukaryota; Metazoa; Chordata; Mammalia; Rodentia; Muridae. The record is from RefSeq and is a predicted model, not a curated record.